CCCGUCUCUCCCGUGAGCGGGCAGUUGAGCAUGGUGUGCUUACAUUAAAGAAUGCCACGAGUCGGAUGGCUAAAGAGAUAAACGCCUGGACGUCCGUUCAUUCUCCGAAAAUCAUUGUUCCGCCGCGCAGGUAGGCCGAAUAAAUAAGCCUACCUGUCAACAGGUUAUGGGCCCAGGAACCGGGAAUGAUUCCAAAGUUUGACGGACUUGCGCGUCGAUGGCUAGCAUGACCGCGCUAGCAUACAGAAGUAUCCAAAAGAGCUAGUUUAGCAUCGGGAGAACCGGGAAGCUAAAGCUAGGCUAAAUAAACGGGAGCUAAACCGAACUACAAACAGCCAUGGCAAACCGAAGCAAGAGCCAGUGGCCCACUUUUGACGGGAGGGCAGAAGAGUAUGAGCUCUGGGAAGAGAGGAUGCUGUGCUGCAUGCACGGGGUGGGGCUGAAGCAGACGAUCCUGACGGAGCCCGCUGAACCACUGUCGGAGGAAGACAGGGCUAAGGACGAUAAGCUGAAUGCGGACGCCUACUGUGCAUUGGCGCCGCUGCUUGACAACACAAGCUUGGGGCUGAUAUUCAGAGACACAAAGGACAAGGGCCGAGAGAGUCUCAGAGUGUUAAAAGAACACUACAUAGGAAAAGGUAGGCCCCGGAUUGUUUCCCUGUACAUAACAAUGACAGCGCUGAAGAAAGCUGACAACGAGACCGUAACCAAGUACAUCAUCAGAGCUGAGCAGAUCAUUACAGCACUCAGGAGUGCAGGCGAAGCACCGAGCGAGGGACUGAUGAUGGCGAUGAUCAUGAGGGGAUUACCGGAGAAGUACAAGCCGUUCACACUGAUGGUGACGCAUGGUUCAGCUGACAUGACACUGGGAGAGUUCAAGGCAAAGCUAAGAAAUUUUGAGGCUUCAGAAGACGCAGACCCAGUCCUAGAAGAGGCAGGAGAAAGGGUGCUGAGGGCGCAAGCGGCGCCAAGGAAAAAGACUGGACCAGUGGAGAUGGUGUGUUGGCGGUGCGGAGAAAAGGGCCACAGAAGGGAUGACUGCACAGAGAAAGUUUGGUGCAGUUUUUGCAGAAGCAGGGGGCACACCGAUAAAGCGUGCACAAAGAAGGAGCGUGAGCGGGGCGCCCGGUGCGCAUGUGUACAAGAUGGCGGCGGUGGCCGUAGGCCCGGGUGUGAACCAGACGGCGACCGGGGAGCCACGGGAGGAGAAGACCGCACCUUCAGGGCACAAACAGAAGAUGCCAGUCUCUCAAGGAAAAUGCUGCAGACCCAGAGAAGGGGAAUGAUCGUGGACACGGGCGCGUCGUCCCACAUCAUCAACGAUAGAAGCAAGUUCAAAAGCUUUGACAGCACCUUCAGGCCGGAGAGACACAGUAUGGAGCUCGCAGAUGGGAAGCGUACUGUCGGUGUGGUGAAAGGCAGGGGAGACGCACAGGUAUGUCUCAUAAGCAGUGGGGGGCACCGGUGUACAGUGACAUUAAAGAACGCUCUCUACAUUCCCUCGUACCCUCAAGAACUCUUCUCAGUGAAGUCAGCUACCGCCCACGGCGCCAAAGUGUUUUUCGACGAAGGAAAAGACGUUCUAGAGUCAACGGAUGGCACAAGGUUUGAAAUCUAUGUAUGCAAGAGAAUGUACUACCUGCAAACCGAGUGUGAUCUAGAUGAUGUGUGUCACGUCAGCUAUGAUAUUCAGACAUGGCAUGAGGUAAUGGGUCACUGUAAUUACGACGAUAUCUUGAAAUUGCAGGACGUGACAGAGGGCAUGCACAUUAAAGGUCCAAAGCGCAGGCCUGAUAAAGAAUGUGCAGUAUGCAUAGAGGGGAAGUUCACGCAGACGAGAAACAGAGACCCGACUAACAGAGCAAAGACGCCGCUUGAGCUGGUGAACACAGACCUAACCGGCCCAAUUAACAAUGAGUCCAUAGAUGGUUUUAAAUACAUGCAGUCUUUCACAGACGUGUGUACGGGGGCAGUGCUGGUCUAUUUUCUGAAAGCAAAAAGCGAUGCAGUUCAGGCUACAGAGAAGUACCUGGCAGAUGUGGCGCCUUACGGCACUGUGAAGUGCAUCAGAUCAGAUAACGGGACUGAAUUUACUAACCGAGAGUUUCAGACACUACUGAGAAAGAACAAAAUCAGGCACGAGACUUCCUGUCCUUACUCUCCGCACCAGAACGGGACAGCUGAAAGGGAAGGGCGAACUCUUUUCGAGAUGGCCAGAUGUAAGCUCAUUGACAGUGGCUUACCUAAGAGCCUUUGGCACUAUGCCAUCCAGGAAGCAGCCUAUACCAGGAACCGGUGUUUCAACAAGCACACAGGCACUACCCCAUACACAGCACUGACAGGUAAAAAGUGUAAUUUGGCCGAUAUGCAUAAAUUCGGGUCAGAGUGUUGUGCCUACCAGCAAGACAGAGGAUUCUUUGUAGGGCACGACAAGGGCAGUCCCGCCUACCUAGUUUACUACCCGGGCAAAGGAAAAGUACAGAAGCACAGGCUGGUAAAGUUUGUCACCAAGACAACCUGUGAAAAUGAGACUCAGACUCAGGAGCUAGGACUGGAUCCCAAAGGGGGUUGUGAUAAGGGAGUAGAGACUUCACAGCCUAGCGUACCGAACACCGAUGUAUUGACUGAUCGUCCACAAUCCGCAUCAGAGGACGACUGCGAGAAGCAUCCUAGGGAGACGCCACACGACAGUGGGAGAUACCCUACCAGAGAGCGUAAAGCCCCGGGGUAUCUAAGAGAUUAUUCUCUGGAAGAUGCUGAUGACGACAGUACGCUAACUAGUGUAGAUUAUUGCUACCGAGCAGUUUGUGGUGUGCCUCUGACCUUUAAAGAGGCCAUGACAUCAACUGAGUCAGGAAAGUGGAAGAAAGCAAUGGACGAGGAGAUGGGGUCCCUAGAAGACAACCAAACCUUUACCCUGACUAAGCUACCAGAGGGCAGGAAGACAGUGGGAGGAAAAUGGGUAUAUUCGAUUAAGGGAGACAUUGACGGAAACGACCAGUACAAAGCUAGGUUUGUAGCGAAAGGAUACAGCCAGAGAGCAGGGAUAGAUUAUGGCGAGACAUUCUCACCGACAGCAAAUCUGACAAGUAUUCGUGUAGUGAUGCAGAAGGCAGCCCAAGACGAUUUGAUUCUGCAUCAAAUGGAUGUGAAAACCGCUUACCUACAUGCCCCCAUUGAUCGAGACAUCUACAUGGAACAACCUGAAGGUUACAAAAAGGAGGGAGAUGAGCUGGUGUGUAAACUAGAGAAGUCAAUCUACGGCCUGAAGCAGUCGGGGCGAAAUUGGAAUGAGAUGCUCCACACCUGCCUAGUAGAUGAUAACUUUAUUCAGAACCCGACAGACCACUGUGUUUACACAAAAGAGUCUACAGAGACAGGGAAGGUAAUAGUGGUCAUUUGGGUGGAUGAUCUGAUCAUCGCAGCCAGCAACACCCAGAGUUUGGAGAGGGUGAAAAACAUGCUUUCCAACAGAUUUAAGAUGAAGGACCUAGGUAGGUUGAAGUAUUUUCUGGGCAUGGACUUCAGCCAGUCUGACGGCUGGGUAAAAGUGUCACAAAGGAGAUUUGUUGAAAAACUACUGAAUCGUUUCGACAUGCAGGAGUGUAGGGUUAGAGAAACCCCAUGUGAACCAAAGCUAGAAUACUCUGAAGGUGCGCCUAAAAUCUCUGAUGUGAAGAAGUACAGGGAGGCUGUCGGCAGCCUCAUUUACCUGACAACCUGUACACGCCCAGACAUAUGUUUCGUAGUGAACAAGUUAUCACAACAUUUUGCUGACCCUACAGAUGAGCAUUGGGUCACGGUGAAACAUGUUUUGCGGUACCUCAGAGGUACUGCAGACAAACAGCUCUGUUUCACAAAAAGCCAAGGAAGCCUAGGCAUACGAGCAUAUAGCGACGCAGACUGGGCUGCGGAUGUUAGUGACAGACGCAGUACCACCGGGUAUUGUGUGAGUAUGAGUAAAGGUAGUUCCUUAGUAUCUUGGAAAACCAAGAAGCAACCCACAGUAGCACUCUCCACAUGCGAAGCCGAGUACAUGGCUCUAGCUCUGACAAUACAGGAGUGUAUUCACUUGGAGCAACUACUGGGAGGGAUGGAUUCCUAUGUGUAUGAGAAAACGGUUGUCUACGAGGAUAACCAGGGGACAAUUGCGCUUGUUAGGAACCCGGUGUGCAGACAACGGUUUAAGCAUGUGGACAUAAAAUAUCAUUUCAUCAGGUCUACCAUAAGGGAAGACAAGAUGUCCCUUGUUUACUGUCCCACCGACAACAUGGUCGCAGACGUUAUGACAAAGCCUGCCUCCAAACUUAAGUUAAAGAAAUUCGGGGAAAUCAUGUUUGGUGUAUAAAAUGUUGAUAUUUGGCUAUGCCAUGUUUUUGUUCUGUUUUUGUUUAUUUGGUCAUGUAAGUUUUGCACAGUAUACAUGUCAUUCAUAAGUGGGAGUGUUAAGAGUGUAUGAAUGCAUGUACCUGUAACUGUUUCCUGGGUCGUGAUAUCAAGAGCACCAUUCCCAUAUAAGGGCAGUGUUCCCUCCCCUUUUCUCUGUGUGUCCCCGUCUCUCCCGUGAGCGGGCAGUUGAGCAUGGUGUGCUUACAUUAAAGAAUGCCACGAG
Molecule: long non-coding RNA, 4612 nt
Organism: Gasterosteus aculeatus aculeatus (three-spined stickleback)
Lineage: Eukaryota; Metazoa; Chordata; Actinopteri; Perciformes; Gasterosteidae
Source: Ensembl